AUUGAACGCUGGCGGCAGGCCUAACACAUGCAAGUCGAACGAGUGGCGGACGGGUGAGUAAUGUCUGUGAAACUGCCUAAUGGAGGGGGAUAACUACUGGAAACGGUAGCUAAUCCCGCAUACCAUCGGAUGUGCCCAGAUGGGAUUAGCUUGUAGGUGGGGUAAAGGCUCACCUAGGCGACGAUCCCUAGCUGUUCUGAGAGGAUGACCAGCCACACUGGAACUGAGACACGGUCAAGACUCUUACGGAAGGAAGCAGUGGGGAAUAUUGGAAAAUGGGGGAAAGCCGGAUGAAGCCAUGCCGCGUGUAGGAAGAAGGUCUUCGGGUUGUAAAGUACUUUCAGCGGGGAGGCGUUACCCGAAGAAGAAGCACCGGUUAACUCCGUGCCAGCAGCCGCGGUAAUAC
This 406-nucleotide ribosomal RNA is filed under the name uncultured bacterium. RNAcentral describes it as "partial 16S ribosomal RNA". It matches the Rfam family "Bacterial small subunit ribosomal RNA", at positions 30 to 526 of the family's 1533-position model. The record is from RNAcentral.